AUUGAACGCUGGCGGCAGGCCUAACACAUGCAAGUCGAGCGGAUGAGGGUAGCUUGCUACCUGAUUCAGCGGCGGACGGGUGAGUAAUGCCUAGGAAUCUGCCCGAUAGUGGGGGACAACGUUUCGAAAGGAACGCUAAUACCGCAUACGUCCUACGGGAGAAAGUGGGGGAUCUUCGGACCUCACGCUAUCGGAUGAGCCUAGGUCGGAUUAGCUAGUUGGUGAGGUAAUGGCUCACCAAGGCUACGAUCCGUAACUGGUCUGAGAGGAUGAUAAGUCACACUGGAACUGAGACACGGUCCAGACUCCUACGGGAGGCAGCAGUGGGGAAUAUUGGACAAUGGGCGAAAGCCUGAUCCAGCCAUGCCGCGUGUGUGAAGAAGGUCUUCGGAUUGUAAAGCACUUUAAGUUGGGAGGAAGGGCUGUAGGCUAAUAUCCUGCAGUUUUGACGUUACCAACAGAAUAAGCACCGGCUAACUUCGUGCCAGCCGCCGCCGUAA
RNAcentral lists this ribosomal RNA (500 nucleotides) under uncultured bacterium. Its description in RNAcentral is "partial 16S ribosomal RNA". It matches the Rfam family "Bacterial small subunit ribosomal RNA", at positions 30 to 523 of the family's 1533-position model. The record is from RNAcentral.